This 497-nucleotide ribosomal RNA is filed under the name uncultured bacterium. Its description in RNAcentral is "partial 16S ribosomal RNA". It matches the Rfam family "Bacterial small subunit ribosomal RNA", at positions 28 to 507 of the family's 1533-position model. The record is from RNAcentral.
GACGAACGCUGGCGGCGUGCCUAAUACAUGCAAGUUGAGCGCUGAAGGUUGGUACUUGUACCAACUGGAUGAGCAGCGAACGGGUGAGUAACGCGUGGGGAAUCUGCCUUUGAGCGGGGGACAACAUUUGGAAACGAAUGCUAAUACCGCAUAAAAACUUUAAACACAAGUUUUAAGUUUGAAAGAUACAAUUGCAUCACUCAAAGAUGAUCCCGCGUUGUAUUAGCUAGUUGGUGAGGUAAAGGCUCACCAAGGCGAUGAUACAUAGCCGACCUGAGAGGGUGGUCGGCCACAUUGGGACUGAGACACGGCCCAAACUCCUACGGGAGGCAGCAGUAGGGAAUCUUCGGCAAUGGACGAAAGUCUGACCGAGCAACGCCGCGUGAGUGAAGAAGGUUUUCGGAUCGUAAAACUCUGUUGGUAGAGAAGAACGUUGGUGAGAGUGGAAAGCUCAUCAAGUGACGGUAACUACCCAGAAAGGGACGGCUAACUACGUG